GAUGAACGCUAGCGGCAGGCCUAAUACAUGCAAGUCGAACGGAUAUAUGUUUUUCGGAAUAUAUAUUAGUGGCGCACGGGUGAGUAACACGUACAUAACUUGCCCUCAAGCGGGGGAUAGCCUUGGGAAACUGAGAGUAAUACCCCAUAGAAUUAUUGGACGGCAUCGUUUGAUAAUUAAAACUACGGUGUUUGGGGAUAGAUGUGCGUCUGAUUAGCUAGUUGGUGAGGUAACUGCUCACCAAGGCGACGAUCAGUAGGGGGCGUGAGAGCGUGGCCCCCCACACGGGUACUGAGACACGGACCCGACUCCUACGGGAGGCAGCAGUAAGGAAUAUUGGUCAAUGGAGGGAACUCUGAACCAGCCAUGCCGCGUGAAGGAUGACGGCCCUCUGGGUUGUAAACUUCUUUUGGAUGGGGCGAAAAAACGGGNUUUAUCCUGGACUGACGGUACCAUCAGAAUAAGCACCGGCUAACUCCGUGCCAGCAGCCGC
RNAcentral lists this ribosomal RNA (493 nucleotides) under uncultured bacterium. RNAcentral's name for it is "bacterial SSU rRNA". It matches the Rfam family "Bacterial small subunit ribosomal RNA", at positions 28 to 518 of the family's 1533-position model. The record is from RNAcentral.